CAUUAAAUAGCUAAACAAAAGCAUUGGCCUCUUAAGCCACUAAUAGUAGCCCCCCACCUACUUUUAAUG
RNAcentral lists this transfer RNA (69 nucleotides) under Scolytoplatypus sinensis. RNAcentral's name for it is "tRNA-Lys". The record is from RNAcentral. Lineage: Eukaryota; Metazoa; Arthropoda; Insecta; Coleoptera; Curculionidae.